UACGUAGGGGGCAAGCGUUGUCCGGAUUUAUUGGGCGUAAAGAGCGUGUAGGCGGCCUGACAGGUCUGCUGUGAAAACUCGAGGCUCAACCUCGAGAUGUCGGCGGAAACCGUCUGGCUAGAGUCCGGAAGAGUAGAGUGGAAUUCCUGGUGUAGCGGUGAAAUGCGCAGAUAUCAGGAGGAACACCGGUGGCGAAGGCGGGUCUCUGGGCCGAUACUGACGCUGAGGAGCGAAAGCGUGGGGAGCGAACAGG
Molecule: ribosomal RNA, 253 nt
Filed under: uncultured bacterium
Lineage: Bacteria
Description: partial 16S ribosomal RNA
Rfam family: Bacterial small subunit ribosomal RNA
Source: RNAcentral